Molecule: long non-coding RNA, 714 nt
Organism: Brachypodium distachyon (stiff brome)
Lineage: Eukaryota; Viridiplantae; Streptophyta; Magnoliopsida; Poales; Poaceae
Exons: 3
Source: RefSeq, a predicted model, not a curated record
UGGCGAUGAAUCUCCCUCCCCUAGGCCCCAGUAUCUGCCAAGUGUAUCAAGAAGGGCCUUAAUUCCCCCCCGCAGGCUGCGAGAUGUCGUGUCAACAUUGGUAUGGGUUAUCAGGUCGUAAUUUAUGGCCCGAUUUGUCCAUGAGAGGCACAAUGCAACACGCGGGGAGGUGGAUUGGUCGACAGAGAGACAAGAGGUUGGGGUUGGACUCUUCUCUCGGCCGGGGCAGGCAGGCAGGCAGUAAGGAAGGUAGUCGUAGCAGGCAGCAGGCAGCAAGCAGAGAAGCAGGUGUAUCUUUUAUUUUUGUUCUUUGGAUGGAUGGAGUAAAGCGCAAGUGAAGACGAUCGAUCCGAGCCGACCGGCCGGGAUGAACAGAAGCAACGAGUAUUGAUGAGCGAAAUGGCACCUGGGGCCCGCCCGGCUGCGUGCGGAGCUAGGGGUCAUCAGUUGUGAUUUGCAGAGCUUCGUGAGGUAAGCGUUGAGGUGACCACAUGAAAAGAACAAAGGGUGGCGAAAUUGGACAAGGGUUUACUGUUGCCGGACAUAGACCGUAAGCCACGACUGCACCUUGGAUCGAUCAUGCUCGAAAAUUGCAGGGCCAUUUCCGACUAAAUUGUGAGUACUAAAUCUAUCCGAACAGUGUGGACCAGCAUGGACAGCCGUGCUGUAUGCUCCUCACGAAUGGUUUGUGAUGUCUGGGAUCCAGAGCAAAAC